Anguilla anguilla (European eel) is the source of this 648-nucleotide long non-coding RNA. RefSeq lists it as uncharacterized. The transcript is spliced from 2 exons. The record is from RefSeq and is a predicted model, not a curated record. Lineage: Eukaryota; Metazoa; Chordata; Actinopteri; Anguilliformes; Anguillidae.
AUUCUAUCGCCCUGUGUGACGGCCGCGUGAAAGAAAAUUUUCUGCAUUCGCCAUUAAGAUCGUUGAAAACCGAACUUUGUACAACUUUGAACAUAUUCCUUGGCCGGGUUUUUUUGUUGUUGGAUUUGAACUGCUGUGCUGGAUCCUGGAUUCGUCCGCCCUGCUUGCCUUCCCUGGAGAGCUACAGCGGCGCGCGGACUGGCGAGCCACCCAUGUGAUCGACCUGAAAUCUUAAAGAGAAGGAAAGAGUUCAGUUGUGCUUUCUAAGAUGGUGGUAGGACAAGAGUUUGAAUUCUACAAACUGGAACUCAGCAACAAGUGGUCCAACAACCACACGGACUAAACUGAUUUGCACAGAUAGUGUUUAAGAAAAGUGUUUUGGUGUUAUAGUGUGAUAAGUUUCCUUUGCAUAGGUACUUUCAGUAGCACUACAUAAGGGUCUUGCUUUCAAAAUAAAAGUCCUAAAAUCUAAUUAGUGACAAAUCAUACUAGAACCAAAUAACUAAUAAUAGGGAUUAACUGAAACACAUCAAAGAAAUACUAAAAGUAUGGUUAAGGUAUAAAGAUAGGAAAAAUAGUCAAAUUAGUGGAACCAGAGAAAAUAUAAAUACAGACACAAAGUAAAAGGGCUUGGGACCAACUUGUAUU